CUGAUAUGGCUCAGUUGGUAGAGCGCACCCUUGGUAAGGGUGAGGUCCCCAGUUCGACUCUGGGUAUCAGCACCAC
This 76-nucleotide transfer RNA is filed under the name Escherichia coli. RNAcentral's name for it is "tRNA-Thr". It matches the Rfam family "tRNA". Rfam says of the family: Transfer RNA (tRNA) molecules are approximately 80 nucleotides in length. RNAcentral also lists the same sequence under 1 other name. The record is from RNAcentral. Lineage: Bacteria; Pseudomonadati; Pseudomonadota; Gammaproteobacteria; Enterobacterales; Enterobacteriaceae.